RNAcentral lists this long non-coding RNA (236 nucleotides) under Erythranthe guttata (spotted monkey flower). RNAcentral's name for it is "long non-coding RNA (EGUT_LNC000567)". The record is from RNAcentral. Lineage: Eukaryota; Viridiplantae; Streptophyta; Magnoliopsida; Lamiales; Phrymaceae.
ACGUAUCCUUUUUUGCAUUUUUCUAAAACCCCUAAAGGUUAACCCAAGUGGGAGAAUAUAUAAUAAGUAAUUAAAUAUUACACGUGGAAGCAAAAGACUCACCCGGUAUUUAUCACUGGGUGUAGGGUCGAAAGAACCAUGGUUGUACACAACAAAAAUAUUUUAUUAAGAAUUAUGCUAAUUAAAAAUAAAUAAUGCAAACUAAGAUGUGAAGCAUGACAAAGGUCAACAAAUUU